AUGUGGACCCGUCUUCGUCAGCGCUAUCAGCCCUCUGGUGAUGCCUUAUACCUUUCUAUGGUCCGUCAGGAGCAUGCUCUUCAGCAGGGUGACUCUACUGUUGAUGACUUCUAUGCACAGAGUUCUGCUAUCUGGCGCCAGCUUGAUUCUCUCCGCAGUGCUGGUUGUCGUACCUGCCCCUGUUGCCAGGCUGCCCAGGCCAAUUUGGAGUUUCACCGCGUCUAUGAGUUCCUGUCUCGGCUCCGUAAGGAGUUUGAGCCCCGGCAUGCUCAGUUGUUUGCUCGUGGCCGUAUUUCUCUCAUGGAGGCGCUUUCUGAGAUUCGUGCUGAGGAGACUCGCUUACGUGGUGCUGGUUUGCUGGAGGUUCCCUCUGUGCUCGCUACUCGUGCUCCUACGCCACCUGCUGCACCGACCCCUUCUCGCUCGAGUGCUCCGCCGCUCUUGCCCACUCCUUCUGGAGGCUUAGGUCGCCCCCGUCCACAUUGCGACUAUUGCAACAAUGAUGGUCAUCUUGAGUCUCAGUGCUACACGAAGAAGAUACACCUGCGCCAGGCGCGAUCAUCAUCUUCAGGGACUUUGUCA
This 582-nucleotide ribosomal RNA is filed under the name Triticum aestivum (bread wheat). RNAcentral's name for it is "partial small subunit ribosomal RNA". Lineage: Eukaryota; Viridiplantae; Streptophyta; Magnoliopsida; Poales; Poaceae. The record is from RNAcentral.